This 497-nucleotide ribosomal RNA is filed under the name uncultured bacterium. RNAcentral's name for it is "partial 16S ribosomal RNA". It matches the Rfam family "Bacterial small subunit ribosomal RNA", at positions 28 to 507 of the family's 1533-position model. The record is from RNAcentral.
GAUGAACGCUGGCGGCGUGCCUAAUACAUGCAAGUCGAGCGGACAGACGAGGAGCUUGCUCCUCUGACGUUAGCGGCGGACGGGUGAGUAACACGUGGAUAACCUACCUAUAAGACUGGGAUAACUUCGGGAAACCGGAGCUAAUACCGGAUAAUAUAUUGAACCGCAUGGUUCAAUAGUGAAAGACGGUUUUGCUGUCACUUAUAGAUGGAUCCGCGCCGCAUUAGCUAGUUGGUAAGGUAACGGCUUACCAAGGCAACGAUGCGUAGCCGACCUGAGAGGGUGAUCGGCCACCCUGGAACUGAGACACGGUCCAGACUCCUACGGGAGGCAGCAGUAGGGAAUCUUCCGCAAUGGGCGAAAGCUUGACGGAGCAACGCCGCGUGAGUGAUGAAGGUCUUCGGAUCGUAAAACUCUGUUAUUAGGGAAGAACAAAUGUGUAAGUAACUAUGCACGUCUUGACGGUACCUAAUCAGAAAGCCACGGCUAACUACGUG